RNAcentral lists this ribosomal RNA (467 nucleotides) under uncultured bacterium. RNAcentral describes it as "partial 16S ribosomal RNA". It matches the Rfam family "Bacterial small subunit ribosomal RNA", at positions 28 to 506 of the family's 1533-position model. The record is from RNAcentral.
GACGAACGCUGGCGGCGUGCUUAACACAUGCAAGUCGAACGGAAAGACCCUGCUUUUGUGGGGUGCUCGAGUGGCGAACGGGUGAGUAACACGUGAGUAACCUGCCCUUGACUUUGGGAUAACUUCAGGAAACUGGGGCUAAUACCGGAUAGGAGCUCCUGCUGCAUGGUGGGGGUUGGAAAGUUUCGGCGGUUGGGGAUGGACUCGCGGCUUAUCAGCUUGUUGGUGGGGUAGUGGCUUACCAAGGCUUUGACGGGUAGCCGGCCUGAGAGGGUGACCGGCCACAUUGGGACUGAGAUACGGCCCAGACUCCUACGGGAGGCAGCAGUGGGGAAUAUUGCACAAUGGGCGGAAGCCUGAUGCAGUAACGCCGCGUGCGGGAUGACGGCCUUCGGGUUGUAAACCGCUUUCGCCUGUGACGAAGCGUGAGUGACGGUAAUGGGUAAAGAAGCACCGGCUAACUACGU